CGUAUUUGCUUUAUAUAUAAACAGAUCAGCAAUUUAGAGCUAAGCUCUUCAUCGAUUUCAACGAAAUAUUUAGUUUUAGAUUCAUCUUUGGGUUAAUCCGGUCAAUGCAUUCGAAAUGGGUAGAACAAAAAUAAACGUAGUUUUGUUAAUGAUCUUCAAACUAUUCUUGGUGGGCACAACAACAGGAGAAGAGACGUGUGAGCACGAUCGACAAAUGGAAGAACUGUGCCGCAGUCAUACCUAUAAAAGUGUGAAGCCUUUGCUAGAUUAUUUUAGGCAAGUUCGAAAUGAGUUAGACCAAAGUGCAAUUAAGGAAAAGCAAAUAAGUGAGAUAAAUUCUGAUGUUAUGAACAAGUAUCAUGAAAUUGUAAAAAUUCAUGAAAAGCAAAUAAGUGAAAUAAAUUCUGAUCUUAUGAACAAGUAUCAUGAAAUUGUAGGAAUUCAUGAAAAGCUGAUGAAGGAGGCAUUUCAAUUAGAUGACUAUAAAAACAAAAUAUUAAGAACAGAAAACGAUUUGCAAUUGUGUCAAAGUAAAGUUGAAAAAUUAGAAUCUGAGAUUAAUUCACAACAAACAACUAUUAACAAAUUAACACUACAUGCAAAUUUUCUUGCGAGUUAUGAUAAAUGUAAAGAAGAACUAUCAGAUAAAUCCGACAAUUUGGAAAUUUGUGAAGUUCAAUCAAAAAAACUUAAUUCUAGUAUUAUUGAAAAAGAUAUGAAAAUUUCUAGAUACUCUGCGACAAUUCAAAAUAUGACAGAACAUCAGAAUACAGUUGAGUUGAAAUUGGAAGCGAGUCAAACCAAGUUAAUUAAAAAAGAUAAAGACAUUGAAAUAUGCCAUGCAGAAAAUAUUAAAUUAAAUAGGACAUCACACCUAAAUAUUCCUUCAAGUUGUCUCCCUUUCGGGGAACAUUCUGGUGUGCAUGAAAUUAAAGUUUCUGGUGUUGGUUUCUUCGAUGUUCUAUGCGAUAGUCAGUUAGCUGGGCCUGGUUGAAUAGUAAUACAACAGCGAAUUGGUGGAAAAGAAAACUUUACCAGGGAUUGGGCCACAUAUCGCAAAGGUUUCGGUUCAUUGGAUAGUGACUUUUUUCUAGGAUUAGAAAAGAUGUAUCGAAUAACGAGCUUGCAGCAAUACGAACUCUACAUACAUUUGGUUGUCUUAAAUGGCAGCAUCUUCUACGCCCGAUACGAUGACUUCAAAAUAUCUGAUGAAGACCAUGGAUACGCACUUAGUUUGGGAAAAUUCAAGGGAAAUAUUGAGGAUGCGAUGAGAGUCAGCGAAAACAUGAAAUUCACAACGUUCGAUCGGGAUAACGACCAUCAUGCUAAUAAAAAUUGUGCAGUCGUAUAUAAUAGUGGCUGGUGGUACCAGAAAUGUUCUAAUUGUAUCUUAAAUGCAUUAUACGGCGUGUAUCUAAAUUGGUGGACUGAAAUAAGAAAUCAACUUAAAGAAGCUAAGAUGCUCAUUCGCCCCAAAGAAAAAAUUAUCUAUUGAUCGACUGAAAAGCUCAAAUCCAAAAUG
This is an RNA transcript of Drosophila sulfurigaster albostrigata, 1522 nucleotides long. It is a transcript of the gene named fibrinogen-like protein 1, with no coding region annotated. The transcript is spliced from 3 exons. Lineage: Eukaryota; Metazoa; Arthropoda; Insecta; Diptera; Drosophilidae. The record is from RefSeq and is a predicted model, not a curated record.